This 301-nucleotide ribosomal RNA is filed under the name uncultured bacterium. RNAcentral's name for it is "partial 16S ribosomal RNA". It matches the Rfam family "Bacterial small subunit ribosomal RNA", at positions 509 to 807 of the family's 1533-position model. The record is from RNAcentral.
CAGUCGCCGCGGGAAUACGAAGGGGGCUAGCGUUGUUCGGAUUUACUGGGCGUAAAGGGCGCGUAGGCGGGCUGAUAAGUCAGGGGUGAAAUCCCAAGGCUCAACCUUGGAACUGCCUUUGAUACUGUUUGUCUUGAGUUCGAGAGAGGUAAGUGGAACUGCGAGUGUAGAGGUGAAAUUCGUAGAUAUUCGCAAGAACACCAGUGGCGAAGGCGGCUUACUGGCUCGAAACUGACGCUGAGGCGCGAAAGCGUGGGGAGCAAACAGGAUUAGAUACCCCUGUAGUCCCUGUCUCUUAUAC